CCAAACUUGGUCAUUUAGAGGAAGUGUAAGUCGUAACAAGGUUUCCGUAGGUGAACCUGCGGAAGGAUCAUUGCAAGUAGUUGGUUGGGCAGGGCCCAGUGGAGCGGGCGAGCAGGACUCGUCGUUCCACACGUAUGCGCUUGAAGAGUAGACAGUUUGUGUGGUUGUUGGUUGACGACGAGUCGUUGGUUGACGAUGUUGGUUGACGAUGAGUGGUUGGUUGACAGACAGAGAUAGGAGAAAUAGAGACGCACUUUUAACAAUGGAUCUCUUGGCUCUUGCAUCGAUGAAGAACGCAGC
RNAcentral lists this unclassified non-coding RNA (300 nucleotides) under uncultured fungus. RNAcentral's name for it is "partial contains small subunit ribosomal RNA, internal transcribed spacer 1, and 5.8S ribosomal RNA". The stretch from base 1 to 73 matches the Rfam family "Eukaryotic small subunit ribosomal RNA", at positions 1759 to 1831 of the family's 1831-position model. Lineage: Eukaryota; Fungi. The record is from RNAcentral.